UUGAAAGGCUUUUUACUCUUACUGAAACUAACGAUUUGAUUCAACAUUUAAUGCUAGACUUUUAGCCCCUUUAUAGAUUCUGGUGGAAAAGAGACGGCUUAUCGGAUGGGCAAGAAAGACCUUCAAGACCCUCUUCUCCUGGUUUCUCUCAGGCUCAGGAAACUAAGAAGUCUCUGUUUUCUGCAAUUAUCUCUACCUUAGUCCCACAUAGUUAAGGAUUAAUAUGGUUUAGUGGUAUCUCCACCUAAAUCUCAUCUUGAAUUCCCACAUGUUGUGGGAGGGGCCUUGUGGGAGGUAAUUGAAUUAUGGGGCUGGGUCUUUCCCAUGCUGUUCUCAGGAUAGUGAAUAGGUCUCAUGAGAUCUAAUGGUUUUAAAAAUGGUAAUUUCCCUGCACAAACCCUUUUCUCUUGUCUGCCACCGUGUGAGACGCACCUUUCACCUUCUACCAUCAUUGUGAGGCCUCCCCAGCCGUGUGGAACUCACCAGUAGGAGUGCCUUCUGAAGAGAGUAAGUCCAGUUCACUAUUGAAUCUGCAUUCAAAGAUGCCAGUAAGCAGGUCACCAGCUUGAACAGACCCUUCUUGCUCUGUCCCAAGGACAAAGAAGAUGGCUGGUGCGUUCCCUUCUGUGAAGAAUUUGCUGGCAUUUGAAAGAAACGGUCAGUAGAAGAUUCGCUGGAUAGUGAAAUUCUUUGCGCCUGGGAUGUGUUCAGUCUGUUAUUCUGCUGCACCAGGAAAGAAGGUCCAGUGUCUUAUUUCAUUCUGGAGCUUUUUGAAACUUUUUACUCUGUACUUUAAUUUUGGCAACCUUGGACUGAUGGGGUUUGUAGAUAUUAAUUAUCAAAUUGUUAUGUAUUCGCUGAUAUUCUUUCAAUUCAAUAAGUAUUUUAAAUCCCUUGUGGUGUCUGUUGAAUACGUUACCAGGAAACUGAAAUAAUAUGUUCAGUCUUCCUUUUUUUUCCUCCACAAAAUAGAAACAAGAUAACUAUACAUAGCUGAUAGUUAUUUUCUCUCAGAAAUUCAAAUAUAUUAUUUUUAAGUGCUUCUGUAAAUAUUUGAACUGAAUGCAAUUUAAAAAAUAAAAAUCUAAAGACCAAUACAAUUUUAUCUCAUAAGAUUUUGAUUUUUGACCUUUAAGUCAAGAAUUAAUAUCUCUAUAUUAGCUGCAAAUGGAUUUAAUUACCUAUAUCUGAUUCCAUGUUAAUGAUAUUAAACCCAACAUAGAAAUAUUGCAAUUAUGGGUGUGGUUUUUAACCUAAGUAUUCCCAGGAAUAUUUGGGACCAGGCAGAAUAUGGAAAUGUUAAAGGUUAUAGCUCAGGUGCUAAAGGUGAGCCUAUAAUGAACUAAAUCAAAGUUCAAUGAAAUAAAUUCAAGAUAUUUAUUGAUGUUUAUUAGUAACCCUAAUGGAUCCACUUUACUUACUUGCAGGAUAAUUGGAGUAUAGUAGUGUAAGCAGAGGUUUCAGUAGAAGGAAGCAGCCUAUUGUUAAAGACCAGUUGUUCACUUUGCUGAUGGUUAAACACUGCUCUAAUAUAAAGGCAAAAAAUAUUUGCUGUGUUUUCCUUUUUUCUGUUUAGGCUUAAAGGAAACAUAAGUAGCUGUAGUAUUGUGAUAGAGAACACACCUAAAGUCAUCAGUUUUAGGUAAAAGGCUAG
Symphalangus syndactylus (siamang) is the source of this 1654-nucleotide long non-coding RNA. RefSeq lists it as uncharacterized. NCBI's taxonomy places the organism in Eukaryota, Metazoa, Chordata, Mammalia, Primates, Hylobatidae. The record is from RefSeq and is a predicted model, not a curated record.